AACGAACGCUGGCGGCAGGCUUAACACAUGCAAGUCGAACGCCCCGCAAGGGGAGUGGCAGACGGGUGAGUAACGCGUGGGAACAUACCCUUUUCUACGGAAUAGCUCUGGGAAACUGGAAUUAAUACCGUAUACGCCCUACGGGGGAAAGAUUUAUCGGGGAAGGAUUGGCCCGCGUUGGUUUAGCUAGUUGGUGGGGUAAAGGCCUACCAAGGCGACGAUCCAUAGCUGGUCUGAGAGGAUGAUCAGCCACAUUGGGACUGAGACACGGCCCAAACUCUUACGGGAGGCAGCAGUGGGGAAUAUUGGACAAUGGGCGCAAGCCUGAUCCAGCCAUGCCGCGUGAGUGAUGAAGGCCUUAGGGUUGUAAAGCUCUUUCACCGAUGAAGAUAAUGACGGUAGUCGGAGAAGAAGCCCCGGCUAACUUCGUG
Molecule: ribosomal RNA, 431 nt
Filed under: uncultured bacterium
Lineage: Bacteria
Description: partial 16S ribosomal RNA
Rfam family: Bacterial small subunit ribosomal RNA
Source: RNAcentral